GAUGAACGCUAGCUACAGGCUUAACACAUGCAAGUCGAGGGGAAACGAUAUUGGAAGCUUGCUUCCGAUAGGCGUCGACCGGCGCACGGGUGAGUAACGCGUAUCCAACCUGCCCACCACUUGGGGAUAACCUUGUGAAAGUAAGACUAAUACCCAAUGAUAUCUCUAGAAGACAUCUGAAGGAGAUUAAAGAUUUAUCGGUGAUGGAUGGGGAUGCGUCUGAUUAGCUUGUUGGCGGGGUAACGGCCCACCAAGGCGACGAUCAGUAGGGGUUCUGAGAGGAAGGUCCCCCACAUUGGAACUGAGACACGGGCCAAACUCCUACGGGAGGCAGCAGUGAGGAAUAUUGGUCAAUGGACGAGAGUCUGAACCAGCCAAGUAGCGUGCAGGAUGACGGCCCUAUGGGUUGUAAACUGCUUUUAUAAGGGAAUAAAGUGAGCCUCGUGAGGCUUUUUGCAUGUACCUUAUGAAUAAGGACCGGCUAAUUCCGUGCCAGCCGCCGCGGUAA
Molecule: ribosomal RNA, 508 nt
Filed under: uncultured bacterium
Lineage: Bacteria
Description: partial 16S ribosomal RNA
Rfam family: Bacterial small subunit ribosomal RNA
Source: RNAcentral